CCUACGGGUGGCAGCAGUCGAGAAUCAUUCACAAUGGGGGAAACCCUGAUGGUGCGACGCCGCGUGGGGGAAUGAAGGUCUUCGGAUUGUAAACCCCUGUCAUGUGGGAGCAAAUUAAAAAGAUAGUACCACACGAGGAAGAGACGGCUAACUCUGUGCCAGCAGCCGCGGUAAUACAGAGGUCUCAAGCGUUGUUCGGAAUCACUGGGCGUAAAGCGUGCGUAGGCUGUUUCGUAAGUCGUGUGUGAAAGGCGCGGGCUCAACCCGCGGACGGCACAUGAUACUGCGAGACUAGAGUAAUGGAGGGGGAACCGGAAUUCUCGGUGUAGCAGUGAAAUGCGUAGAUAUCGAGAGGAACACUCGUGGCGAAGGCGGGUUCCUGGACAUUAACUGACGCUGAGGCACGAAGGCUAGGGGAGCGAAAGGGAUUAGAUACCCUUGUAGUC
RNAcentral lists this ribosomal RNA (446 nucleotides) under uncultured bacterium. Its description in RNAcentral is "partial 16S ribosomal RNA". It matches the Rfam family "Bacterial small subunit ribosomal RNA", at positions 338 to 795 of the family's 1533-position model. The record is from RNAcentral.